CAUAGUUUUCACUGUUUGUCACUUUUAGUCCCUCUAAAGUAUGUUUUCACAUAACGGAACCUUAUGACACGUGUCAAGACAUUAUUGGACGAAAUUUUUCGAGGUGUUACAGGUGACAACAAUACUAAUCACCACACCAACCAGAAAGGGACCGGGUUCUCCAGUUACAAAGGAAAUUUUUAAGUUUGAGACGUUUAAACAAUAUCCGAUUACUUGUUCGGAUGAUUUAACUAUAUAUAUAGACCGGUGACUAGGACUUUUAGCAUACUGAGCUAGAACUGCUUUCAUGUAGAUGUAGCAUAUAAACAAUUGGUAAGUAAAUGAAUUAUUUAUAUUUUUUGGUGACAAAGUAUUAGUUGGUGAACAUAUUUGUGGAUGUUUCAGGAGAUUUGAUUCUUCUGGUGCCUGUUCUAUGUAGAUAGGGCUGAUGACUGCUGGCUUGCUACAUGCAAGGAUAACAUGAAUUGUGAUAUAACGUCUCCAUACUGUGGUGAAAACCGUAUGGGGGAUUAUGCAUUUUUUAACACAAGUUGCAAACCUCUUCAACCAUAUUAAAUAACUCUGGUAGUAAGCAUUUUAUUAUUUUUCAAUCAGUUAGCUCGCUUGGUCAAAACCUCAAGACAAGUACCUACUUAUGGGAUUCUUGGACAGGUAUUAUUCUAGUUUCUUCUUCUAGGCAACAUAUAUCUUUACUCAAUGACAUUAAGAUUAGAAAUGAGGGUAAAAAGGAGGGAUGCAGAGGUAUGGAUGUCCCACAAGAUGCUUCCUGAAGAUCUGAAGGAAGGUGUGACACUCUAUGAACAAAAGAAAACAGGAAGUCAAUGAAGAAUCUCUUGUUCACAAGCUGCCCGAGGACUAAUGGAAGGACAUAAAGCUCAAUGGACAAUACAACCGGCAACCAAAUUGCCAAAUUGUUCAUGUAAAAUAACAUUAGGCAUAUAUAAUAAUAUUUCAUACUGCUCCAAGUAUAGAAAAAACCCACAAAUCAGUAGCAUCACAAGGCUAUUUGGAAGGUUUUAUUAUCAAACCCAGCAACCUAUUCCUUAUAUUGCCUUUUCCAUUGUAAUUGACCCCUUUAUUUUAAUUUUGAUUACAUUGUAAUAUUGAGUUUGGACAUAUGUGAAUAUAUAUAAGGGCAUCUUUUGUAUUUUUCUUACUA
Molecule: long non-coding RNA, 1159 nt
Organism: Helianthus annuus (common sunflower)
Lineage: Eukaryota; Viridiplantae; Streptophyta; Magnoliopsida; Asterales; Asteraceae
Exons: 2
Source: RefSeq, a predicted model, not a curated record